UACGUAGGGUGCGAGCGUUAAUCGGAAUUACUGGGCGUAAAGCGCACGUAGGCGGCUUUGUAAGUCAGAGGUGAAAGCCCGGGGCUCAACUCCGGAACUGCCUUUAAGACUGCAUCGCUUGAAUCCAGGAGAGGUGAGUGGAAUUCCGAGUGUAGAGGUGAAAUUCGUAGAUAUUCGGAAGAACACCAGUGGCGAAGGCGGCUCACUGGACUGGUAUUGACGCUGAGGUGCGAAAGCGUGGGGAGCAAACAGG
RNAcentral lists this ribosomal RNA (253 nucleotides) under uncultured bacterium. RNAcentral's name for it is "partial 16S ribosomal RNA". It matches the Rfam family "Bacterial small subunit ribosomal RNA", at positions 524 to 776 of the family's 1533-position model. The record is from RNAcentral.